GACGAACGCUGGCGGCGUGCCUAAUACAUGCAAGUUGAGCGAUGAAGAUUGGUGCUUGCACCAAUUUGAAGAGCAGCGAACGGGUGAGUAACGCGUGGGGAAUCUGCCUUUGAGCGGGGGACAACAUUUGGAAACGAAUGCUAAUACCGCAUAACAACUUUAAACAUAAGUUUUAAGUUUGAAAGAUGCAAUUGCAUCACUCAAAGAUGAUCCCGCGAUGUAUUAGCUAGUUGGUGAGGUAAAGGCUCACCAAGGCGAUGAUACAUAGCCGACCUGAGAGGGUGAUCGGCCACAUUGGGACUGAGACACGGCCCAAACUCCUACGGGAGGCAGCAGUAGGGAAUCUUCGGCAAUGGACGAAAGUCUGACCGAGCAACGCCGCGUGAGUGAAGAAGGUUUUCGGAUCGUAAAACUCUGUUGGUAGAGAAGAACGUUGGUGAGAGUGGAAAGCUCAUCAAGUGACGGUAACUACCCAGAAAGGGACGGCUAACUACGUG
RNAcentral lists this ribosomal RNA (497 nucleotides) under uncultured bacterium. RNAcentral's name for it is "partial 16S ribosomal RNA". It matches the Rfam family "Bacterial small subunit ribosomal RNA", at positions 28 to 507 of the family's 1533-position model. The record is from RNAcentral.